RNAcentral lists this ribosomal RNA (459 nucleotides) under uncultured bacterium. Its description in RNAcentral is "partial 16S ribosomal RNA". It matches the Rfam family "Bacterial small subunit ribosomal RNA", at positions 338 to 795 of the family's 1533-position model. The record is from RNAcentral.
CCUACGGGUGGCAGCAGUGAGGAAUAUUGGUCAAUGGUCGGGAGACUGAACCAGCCAAGCCGCGUGAGGGAUGAAGGUAAAGAGUAUCGUAAACCUCUUUUGUCAGGGAACAAAGGCGGGGACGUGUCCCCGGAUGAGUGUACCUGAAGAAAAAGCAUCGGCUAACUCCGUGCCAGCAGCCGCGGUAAUACGGAGGAUGCGAGCGUUAUCCGGCUUUAUGGGGUUUAAAGGGUGCGCAGGCGGUCUGUUAAGUCAGCGGUCAAAGCCCGGGGCUCAACCCCGGCCCGCCGUUGAAACUGGCAGUCUCGAGUUGGAGAGAAGUAUGCGGAAGGCGCGGUGUAGCGGUGAAAUGCAUAGAUAUCGCGCAGAACUCCGAUUGCGAAGGCAGCAUGCCGGCUCCACACUGACGCUGAGGCACGAAAGCGUGGGUAUCGAACAGGAUUAGAUACCCGGGUAGUC